UGUGCCAGCAGCCGCGGUAAUACGUAGGGUGCGAGCGUUGUCCGGAAUUAUUGGGCGUAAAGAGCUUGUAGGCGGCUUGUCGCGUCUGCUGUGAAAGCCCGGGGCUUAACUCCGGGUCUGCAGUGGGUACGGGCAGGCUAAGUGUGGUAGGGGAGACUGGAAUUCCUGGUGUAGCGGUGGAAUGCGCAGAUAUCAGGAGGAACACCGAUGGCGAAGGCAGGUCUCUGGGCCAUUACUGACCGCUGAGAAGCGAAAAGCGUGGGGAGCGAACAGGAUUAGAUACCCUGGUAGUC
Molecule: ribosomal RNA, 293 nt
Filed under: uncultured Actinomycetales bacterium
Lineage: Bacteria; Bacillati; Actinomycetota; Actinomycetes; Actinomycetales
Description: partial 16S ribosomal RNA
Rfam family: Bacterial small subunit ribosomal RNA
Source: RNAcentral